UCUAGAACUCAAGAUUAGGCUGAACACUGAACAAUGUCUGGGCUACAUGACAAAUUCAAAUAUCUCUUUAGUUGCUAAGAUUUGAGUUUGAAAACGGCAGUUGUGAAUCUUGGACUCUUCAUGAAUGUUUUAUGCGUGUAUCUUAGCUAUCCAUC
This is a non-coding RNA of Populus trichocarpa (black cottonwood), 155 nucleotides long. Lineage: Eukaryota; Viridiplantae; Streptophyta; Magnoliopsida; Malpighiales; Salicaceae. The record is from Rfam.